UAGGGAAUCUUCCACAAUGGACGCAAGUCUGAUGGAGCAACGCCGCGUGAGUGAAGAAGGUCUUCGGAUCGUAAAACUCUGUUGUUAGAGAAGAACACGAGUGAGAGUAACUGUUCAUUCGAUGACGGUAUCUAACCAGCAAGUCACGGCUAACUACGUGCAAG
This 164-nucleotide ribosomal RNA is filed under the name uncultured bacterium. Its description in RNAcentral is "partial 16S rRNA". It matches the Rfam family "Bacterial small subunit ribosomal RNA", at positions 355 to 511 of the family's 1533-position model. The record is from RNAcentral.